Molecule: ribosomal RNA, 253 nt
Filed under: uncultured bacterium
Lineage: Bacteria
Description: partial 16S ribosomal RNA
Rfam family: Bacterial small subunit ribosomal RNA
Source: RNAcentral
UACGGAGGGUGCGAGCGUUGUCCGGAAUUACUGGGCGUAAAGGGCUCGUAGGCGGCCAACUAAGUCAGACGUGAAAUCCCCAGGCUCAACCUGGGAACUGCGUCUGAUACUGGAUGGCUUGAAUCCGGGAGAGGGAUGCAGAAUUCCAGGUGUAGCGGUGAAAUGCGUAGAUAUCAGGAGGAACACCGGUGGCGAAAGCGCUCAUCUGGCCCGAUACUGACGCUGAAGCACGAAAGCUAGGGGAGCAAACGGG